This 450-nucleotide ribosomal RNA is filed under the name uncultured bacterium. RNAcentral's name for it is "partial 16S ribosomal RNA". It matches the Rfam family "Bacterial small subunit ribosomal RNA", at positions 354 to 796 of the family's 1533-position model. The record is from RNAcentral.
GUGGGGAAUCUUCCGCAAUGGACGAAAGUCUGACGGAGCAACGCCGCGUGAGUGAAGAAGGUUUUCGGAUCGUAAAGCUCUUUCGUUAGGGACGAACGUGCUCUUUGUGAAUAAUGAGGAGUAAUGACGGUACCUAAAUAAGAAGCCACGGCUAACUACGUGCCAGUAGCCGCGGUAAUACGUAGGUGGCAAGCGUUGUCCGGAAUUAUUGGGCGUAAAGCGCGCGCAGGCGGGAUAUCAAGUCUGUCUUAAAAGUGCGAGGCUCAACCUCGUGAGGGGACAGAAACUGGUAUUCUUGAGUGUCGGAGAGGAAAGUGGAAUUCCAAGUGUAGCGGUGAAAUGCGUAGAGAUUUGGAAGAACACCAGUGGCGAAGGCGACUUUCUGGACGAUGUCUGACGCUGAGGCGCGAAAGCUAGGGGAGCGAACGGGAUUAGAAACCCUAGUAGUCC